AGCAGCCGCGGUAAUUCCAGCUCCAAUAGCGUAUAUUAAAGUUGUUGCAGUUAAAAAGCUCGUAGUUGAAUUUCGGGAUUGACACAUCGGUCGUGCCUUAAGGGGUAUGAACUGGUGUAGUCAAUUUCUCACCUUCUGGAGAACCGCGCUGUCCUUAAUUGGGUGACGCGGGGAACCAGGACCUUUACUUUGAAAAAAUUAGAGUGUUUAAAGCAGGCAUUUUGCUUGAAUACAUUAGCAUGGAAUAAUAAAAUAGGACGGCAUGAUUCUAUUUUGUUGGUUUCUAGGAUCACCGUAAUGAUUAAUAGGGAUAGUUGGGGGCAUUAGUAUUCAAUUGUCAGAGGUGAAAUUCUUGGAUUCAUUGAAGACUAACUACUGCGAAAGCAUUUGCCAAGGAUGUUUUCAUUAAUCAAGAACGAAAGUUAGGGGAUCGAAGACGAUCAGAUACCGUCGUAGUCUUAACCAUAAACUAUGCCGACUAGGAAUCAGACGAUGUAAUUUUUUAAUGACUCGU
This 514-nucleotide small RNA is filed under the name uncultured Entrophospora. RNAcentral's name for it is "SSU rRNA". It matches the Rfam family "Eukaryotic small subunit ribosomal RNA", at positions 569 to 1079 of the family's 1831-position model. Lineage: Eukaryota; Fungi; Glomeromycota; Glomeromycetes; Entrophosporales; Entrophosporaceae. The record is from RNAcentral.